AUCAUCACUGGCUGGAAUUUUGGGGUGUGCAGUGUAUCCUGCUUUAUAAUAAUUGCUCAUGAUAAUAUUGCGUAUCCAUGUGACAUUGGUGACAUUAGAAUCAACCUUUAGCACUAGUGGCCAACUAGUGCACAUAGUAGAUGAAUUGGGCCAAAUAUAGCUGAAGCUCUAUUGUGUCUGUGCAAGCUUGGACCUGUGCCAACAUGAUAGGUAAUUGAUCCUCUCAAAUUUCAAUCAAUUAUUUGUUAGAGAACCAAUCUAUAUGUAUGGCAUAGCUGAAGGAACGGAUAUAUUACCAGAAGAGACUUC
Molecule: long non-coding RNA, 309 nt
Filed under: Hordeum vulgare
Lineage: Eukaryota; Viridiplantae; Streptophyta; Magnoliopsida; Poales; Poaceae
Description: long non-coding RNA (HVUL_LNC016308)
Source: RNAcentral